ACCAUAUCUAGCCCACACUCCACCCAUUACAACUAUCACAAAUAAAUUAAAUAAAACAUUCACCAUGCGUUUAAAGUAUAGGAGAUAGAAAUUUAAACACAACUGGCGCUAUAGAGAAAGUACCGUAAGGGAAAGAUGAAAGAUUUAUUAAAAGUAAAAAAAAGCAAAGAUUACCCCUUGUACCUUUUGCAUAAUGAUUUAACUAGCAAAUACUUAGCAAAGAGUUCUUAAGUUAAAUAUCCCGAAACCAGACGAGCUACUUACAAGCAGUGAAUAGAACAAACUCAUCUAUGUGGCAAAAUAGUGAGAAGACUUAUAAGUAGAGGUGAAAAGCCCAACGAGCCUGGUGAUAGCUGGUUGUCCAAAAAAGGAAUUUCAGUUCAACAUUAAAUAAUACCAAAAACCACAUCAAGUUUAAAUGUAUAUUUAAUCGUUAGUCUAAAAGGGUACAGCCUUUUAGAAAUGGAUACAACCUUAACUAGAGAGUAAAAUUGAAUCUAAAACAUAGUUGGCCUAAAAGCAGCCAUCAAUUAAGAAAGCGUUCAAGCUCAACAAAAAAAACCAGAUUUUAAUUUCAACAAUAAAUUAACUAACUCCUAGCUUAAAUAUUGGACUAAUCUAUUUAAACAUAGAAGCAAUACUGUUAAUAUGAGUAACAAGAAAAUUUUCUCCUUGCACAAGCUUAUAUCAGUGCCUGAUAUUAUACUGAUAAUUAACAGUCAAUAAAUAUAACCCAACGCUAAAACAUUUAUUAAACAUACUGUUAACCCAACACAGGCGUGCAUUAAGGAAAGAUUAAAAAGAGUAAAAGGAACUCGGCAAACACAAACCCCGCCUGUUUACCAAAAACAUCACCUCUAGCAUAACCAGUAUUAGAGGCACUGCCUGCCCAGUGACCUACGUUAAACGGCCGCGGUAUUCUGACCGUGCAAAGGUAGCAUAAUCACUUGUUCUCCAAAUAAGGACUUGUAUGAAUGGCCACACGAGGGUUUUACUGUCUCUUACUUUUAAUCAGUGAAAUUGACCUUCCCGUGAAGAGGCGGGAAUAAUAUAAUAAGACGAGAAGACCCUAUGGAGCUUCAAUUAAUUAACCCAAAUAGCCACAAACUAAUACCAUCAAGGGAUAUAAAACUUUAUAUGGGUUAACAAUUUCGGUUGGGGUGACCUCGGAGCACAAAAAAUCCUCCGAGUGAUUAAAGCCUAGGCCUACCAGCCAAAGCAUACUAUCACUUAUUGAUCCAAAAUUUUUGAUCAACGGAACAAGUUACCCUAGGGAUAACAGCGCAAUCCUAUUCUAGAGUCCAUAUCAACAAUAGGGUUUACGACCUCGAUGUUGGAUCAGGACAUCCUAAUGGUGCAGCCGCUAUUAAGGGUUCGUUUGUUCAACGAUUAAAGUCCUACGUGAUCUGAGUUCAGACCGGAGCAAUCCAGGUCGGUUUCUAUCUAUUACGCAUUUCUCCCAGUACGAAAGGACAAGAGAAAUAAGGCCAACUUCAACAAAGCGCCUUCAAAAUAACUAAUGAUUUAGUCUCAACCUAACAAUUAAGCGCAAACAUACCCCACUCAAGAUCAGGGUUUU
RNAcentral lists this ribosomal RNA (1579 nucleotides) under Lipotes vexillifer (Yangtze River dolphin). RNAcentral's name for it is "16S ribosomal RNA". It matches the Rfam family "Bacterial large subunit ribosomal RNA". The record is from RNAcentral. Lineage: Eukaryota; Metazoa; Chordata; Mammalia; Artiodactyla; Lipotidae.